AAUUAGUGAUGAAGCACCAGAAACCUUCAGGGAGAAAACACCCCAUUAUUUUUUAAGUUACAGUGUAUUUACAACCCAUUUCCACCUGCUUCCUUUGUCUCCACCUGUCUCUGCUGUAUACAGAUUCAUCUCAGCCAGCCCCUCAGGAAUACAGCUGUGUCAUCACAUCCUGUGGCAUCCUAAUAUUUCAUACUAAGCCGUAAACCAAUUAGGAAUGACUACUCCCUCUGCUGACUCAUGGGAAGAGAAGGGGAUAAUGUGUCCUUCAGAUGCUGAAGAAUCUGAGCUCUGAUGUGCAGGGGGAAGUACAACUGCAAAGCAUGCAUUGCUCAAGACAGCAUGUCUAUCAUCGUUCCUGUCACCGUGAGAAGAUGUCCGAUGGAAGCAACCUCAGGAGGAAGAGCUAUUUUGGCUCACGGUUUUGGAGGAUAUGAAGUCCAUCACAGUUGAGAAGACACGGAGGAUGGUCAGUGAUGUGUCCUGGAACACUGUAAGACGGAGAGAACAUACAGAAGACAGAGCUUCCUAUUUGGAGGUGGAAUGAAGGUAAACAGGAUUAAGUUGUUUUUCAGGUUCUGGAAUCAUCUUGCAAGAAAGAGGAGACAAGUCCAAGUCACCGUGAUGGUACAAGACAAACACAGCUCAACCGGGGCAGGCUUAAAGGAUGUGGACACUAAGUGCUAUCCAUCAGCAGUUAGAAACGUUGAGGACAUAGAGACGGAGAAGUGAAAUUGCUGGCUUCAUGUCUGGUGCUCAGUGUCUGGUGAGGAACAUCUUUACCAGUGGAUUCUGUCCCUCGCUGAAACGCCUCCCAGUAUCUCAUUAGGUGUUGUUUUAAGUUGGGGCUGACCACAGGAAAAAUUCAGAGAUUUGGAAGGUGGACAUAGAGGCAUUCGCCCCUUUAAAGGGUUACAGGCUCUUACCAUGUGGGCCAGGCUGACCUCAAACUCAUGCUGAUCAUUCUGCCUUAGCCUCUCAACUUCUGGGAUUAUAGGCACGAGUCACAGUGCCUAGCUACAGCAGCCGGUUCUAUGUCCCUAAGAUUGGGCCAGGGAAAGGCCAGACAUACCUGUCAUUCUCCUGUGUGUUGCUCUGUGGCCGGGGUUGCCAGCCUUUCCUGUCACACUGUGCUUUAAAUGAUGUGAGAGAAAAGUGUAGGGCUGAGGUUUGCAUUUGGAGGCCGCCAUUUAUACCUCCUUCCCAGCUUCCUGCCCAGGUGAGUGCAAAGGCAAUGGCUUUGCCUAUGCCCUCCCUCCCUUCCCCAAGUCUAUAUCUUAACACAACAUCCUAUUUAUAGAGUUCCUGCAUCUUGCUUCUAACAUGGACUGAUAUUCUGACUCUAUAACUGGAUGGCUAUAUGACGAUAGAUGCUGGAUGGACAACUGGGAAUAUUACAACUAUUAUUGUUUGGGGAGCUUCUGUGUUCUUGCAAGUGCUUGCUCUCAUUUUGGUUUUGGGCUCCAGGAAAAGCAAAUAGUAGUGGAGGCUGCUGAAAUUAAAAUGAUGCCGAAGAAAUGAAAUAUGGCUGCUUAUCUUUUCUUUCCUGAAAUUGCCUUGAUGUGCAUCCGUGUGAGUCAAUGCAGUCACCACCUGUCUCUUAUGCGAACCCUUGAAAAGUGAAGAUGGGGUCAUCCUGCUCUUUCCC
Molecule: small RNA, 1645 nt
Filed under: Rattus norvegicus (Norway rat)
Lineage: Eukaryota; Metazoa; Chordata; Mammalia; Rodentia; Muridae
Description: uncharacterized LOC102551020
Source: RNAcentral